This 253-nucleotide ribosomal RNA is filed under the name uncultured bacterium. Its description in RNAcentral is "partial 16S ribosomal RNA". It matches the Rfam family "Bacterial small subunit ribosomal RNA", at positions 524 to 776 of the family's 1533-position model. The record is from RNAcentral.
UACGGAGGAUGCAAGCGUUAUCCGGAAUGAUUGGGCGUAAAGCGUCCGCAGGUGGCUAUGUAAGUCUGCUGUUAAAGAGUGAGGCUCAACCUCAUAAGAGCAGUGGAAACUACAUAGCUAGAGUGCGUUCGGGGCAGAGGGAAUUCCUAGUGUAGCGGUGAAAUGCGUAGAUAUCAGGAAGAACACCGGUGGCGAAAGCGCUCUGCUAGGCCGCAACUGACACUGAGGGACGAAAGCUAGGGGAGCGAAUGGG